RNAcentral lists this ribosomal RNA (450 nucleotides) under uncultured bacterium. RNAcentral's name for it is "partial 16S ribosomal RNA". It matches the Rfam family "Bacterial small subunit ribosomal RNA", at positions 354 to 796 of the family's 1533-position model. The record is from RNAcentral.
GUGGGGAAUAUUGGACAAUGGGCGAAAGCCUGAUCCAGCCAUGCCGCGUGUGUGAAGAAGGUCUUCGGAUUGUAAAGCACUUUAAGUUGGGAGGAAGGGCAGUAAGCUAAUACCUUGCUGUUUUGACGUUACCGACAGAAUAAGCACCGACUAACUUCGUGCCAGCAGCCGCGGUAAUACGAAGGGUGCAAGCGUUAAUCGGAAUUACUGGGCGUAAAGCGCGCGUAGGUGGUUUUGUAAGUUGGAGGUGAAAUCCCCGAGCUCAACCUGGGAACUGACUCCAAAACUGCAUGACUAGAGUACGAUAGAGGGUAGUGGAAUUUCCUGUGUAGCGGUGAAAUGCGUAGAUAUAGGAAGGAACACCAGUGGCGAAGGCGACUACCUGGACUGAUACUGACACUGAGGUGCGAAAGCGUGGGGAGCAAACAGGAUUAGAAACCCCGGUAGUCC